This 490-nucleotide ribosomal RNA is filed under the name uncultured bacterium. Its description in RNAcentral is "partial 16S ribosomal RNA". It matches the Rfam family "Bacterial small subunit ribosomal RNA", at positions 30 to 507 of the family's 1533-position model. The record is from RNAcentral.
AUUGAACGCUGGCGGCAUGCUUUACACAUGCAAGUCGGACGGCAGCGGGGUAGUGCUUGCACUACUGCCGGCGAGUGGCGAACGGGCGAGUAAUAUAUUGGAACGUACCGAGUAAUGGGGGAUAACCAAUCGAAAGAUUGGCUAAUACCGCAUACGCUCUGAGGAGGAAAGCAGGGGACCUUCGGGCCUUGCGUUAUUCGAGCGGCCAAUAUCUGAUUAGCUAGUUGGUGGGGUAAGGGCCUACCAAGGCGACGAUCAGUAGCGGGUCUGAGAGGAUGAUCCGCCACACUGGGACUGAGACACGGCCCAGACUCCUACGGGAGGCAGCAGUGGGGAAUUUUGGACAAAGGGCGCAAGCCUGAUCCAGCCAUGCCGCGUGUCUGAAGAAGGCCUUCGGGUUGUAAAGGACUUUUGUUAGGGAAGAAAAAGGAGCGGUUAAUACCCGUUUCUGCUGACGGUACCUAAAGAAUAAGCACCGGCUAACUACGUG